CUUUACUUUGUGAAGCGGCUGGGUCAAUGACCUUCCGGUGGUCAUAGGAGAAGGGCAACACCCGUUCCCAUUCCGAAUACGGAAGUUAAGCC
This 92-nucleotide transfer RNA is filed under the name Candidatus Omnitrophica bacterium ADurb.Bin292. The record is from RNAcentral. Lineage: Bacteria; Pseudomonadati; Candidatus Omnitrophota.